RNAcentral lists this transfer RNA (72 nucleotides) under Protopterus annectens (West African lungfish). RNAcentral describes it as "tRNA-Ile". The record is from RNAcentral. Lineage: Eukaryota; Metazoa; Chordata; Ceratodontiformes; Protopteridae.
AGGAAAUAUGCCUGAAGUUAAAGGACCACUUUGAUAGGGUGGAUCAUGGGGGUUAACCCCCCCUAUUUCCUA